AGAGUUUGAUCCUGGCUCAGAGUGAACGCUGGCGGCAGGCCUAAUACAUGCAAGUCGAACGGCAGCACAGCAGAGCUUGCUCUGUGGGUGGCGAGUGGCGGACGGGUGAGGAAUACAUGGGAAUCUGCCCAGUCGUGGGGAUAACGUAGGGAAACUUACGCUAAUACCGCAUGCGCCCUUCGGGGGAAAGCCGGGGACCUUCGGGCCUGGCGCGAUUGGAUGAGCCCAUGUCGGAUUAGCUAGUUGGCGGGGUAAUGGCCCACCAAGGCGACGAUCCGUAGCUGGUCUGAGAGGAUGAUCAGCCACACUGGAACUGAGACACGGUCCAGACUCCUACGGGAGGCAGCAGUAGGGAAUAUUGGACAAUGGGCGCAAGCCUGAUCCAGCCAUGCCGCGUGAGUGAAGAAGGCCCUCGGGUUGUAAAGCUCUUUUGUCCGGAAAGAAAAGCGCCGGGUUAAUACCCUGGUGUCCUGACGGUACCGGAAGAAUAAGCACCGGCUAACUUCGUG
Molecule: ribosomal RNA, 509 nt
Filed under: uncultured bacterium
Lineage: Bacteria
Description: bacterial SSU rRNA
Rfam family: Bacterial small subunit ribosomal RNA
Source: RNAcentral